UCUUGCUCUCUCCCUCGGCUCGAAGUGCACGCCGCCAUGGCCGAGAUCUCCGAAGAAGCCCAGGAGCAGCAGUACACCUCUUUCUCCUCCUCCUCUUCCUCUCCAAUCGCCGCCCCGGAGGUCGAUCCCGACGAGGAGUCUUUGGCCUCGGUUCUCGCCAAGAAGAGCCCGAUGCCCUUCCUCGAGGCUGCCAACGCCGAGAAGUGGGUCAAGGAUGCGGCCCAGAGGACAUAGUCGGACGCGCCGCCCAACGAUCUAAGUCAUCAGACAAGGCGGCGACCAAGGCCGAGCAGAAGCCAAACUCUGAAAAUGGUCUCGACUUAUUAUAAUUUAUAAGUAUUCAUGGACUUGGACACUUCAAGAUGUUACCAUCAGCAUUCCUGUUCCUCAGGGAACAUAAUCAAGGUUUGUUGCUCGUGAGAUAAAGAAGACCCAUUUGAAAGUUGGGUUAAAGGGACAACCUCCAUUUAUCUCUAGGUGAAAGCACCUUCCUCUUAUACUUGCACAUGUUUCUUCUGUAAUUCUUCCAGGGAGAUCUUUAUCGACCAGUGAAGACAGAAGAUUGCUUCUGGAGCAUAGGGUGGACAAUACAUUUCUAUACUUUUGACCAAGCAAAAUCAGAUGGAAUGGUGGAAGUGUGUGGUAAAGGGUGACCCUGAAAUUGAUACACUAAAAAGUAGAACCUGAAUAUAGCAAUAUCUGAUCUGGAUCGUGAAACUUGGCAGAUUUUACAGAAAAUGAUGUUUGAGCAGUGGCAGAAAGCUAUGGGUCUUCCAACAAGUGACGAUAUGUAGAAGCAAGAAAUUCUGAAAAAGAUAGCACCCAUAAAUUGACUUUUCAAGAGCAAAAAGAGCCCUGUUGGAGGAUUUCGAAGAGGUGUUUUGCGCAGCAAGUGUUAUCUGGUCUUAAGACUAGAUUGAUUUGUACCUGAGGGGAGAUGUUAAAGAAUAUGAACUUUUCUAGCAGCUUAAACAUGUGAAGGCUCCGUGGUUGGAGUCUUUCUGCCUUAUUACAAGUGUUUAGCCGAAAACCAAUUGCAGGUGUCGGCAUAAGAAAGGUCUGCGGAAUGGACCCAAGGCUCGAAAAACUGUUCCAGCGAUUGUCCAUUGCAAGUAAGAUUUCUUUCUCUAUGUUGUAGGUCUGUUUUGGCAAAUCUCGCCAUUAAAUUUUUGUUGCAACUUGCAACUUUGUGAUUGAUAGAAUUUACUGGAAUAACAUUUACCCAUAAAUUAUGCACCUUUUUUAUGUGUGGAGGACAUUCAUGUUUACAAUUUUGGAUUAUUCCAGCUAAUUUUCACCAGCAUUCCAACUUAUAACUCCUCUAUUUAUUCUGUUUGAUGUUAGAAUUAAAAGAUAGUAGUCCAUCAUGAAGCGGUUUAAAAUUGACCAAAUUAUCAAUAUUGUUGCAAUACGCCAGGCCUGUAGUUAAAGAAGUGAAAGCAUGCAAUGGCUAAGAUAAAUUUCAAUUCCACGUUAAAAGUUCAUCAACUGUAUAAAAUCUUCCAUCCUAUUAUUCACAAAGAGUCUAUUUUAAAUGAAUGUCUUUUCAAUGGAUUGUAAAAUGAGCUACAUAAUCAUGGCAAAUAGUUUGGUGACCAGUUUCCUCUUCCAGAAAAAAAAAAAGAUGUACAAAACAACUAGAAUAACUGGUCACAAUUGGAGUCAGUUAUCAUUGUGAGAAAUGAGUGGGAAGACUGUUUGAUUGCCUGGGUUAUCUAGCAACAACAAGCCAGUAAGAUAGUAUGUGCUACUGCUGUACACUGUAUCACCUCUUCGCUUAGAUUUAGAAUGUUUACUAAAAUGCAGGACGAAUAGAGUUUUUCCAAUUCUGCUGAAUGCUAAGUAUCACAAAGUUAGUAGCUGAAGGAUGACAACAUUGUUAACAGAUUGGAUCUAAAAUAUCUUUUUUAUUCUACAACGACCAAGCACUAAACCCCAGAACAGUAUAUUCUUUUUUCUUGAGAUUAAAACUUAUGAUUGUGCUUCAAACAGAAGCCGUUGUAUGUGACAAGUUGAUGCUUGUUUACAUUUGAUGUUCUACUUGUUCACAUUUAAUGUUCUACUUUUUUUUAAAAAAAAAGCAACAUGUAAUGUUCAAUUGAUAAUUGAAGAGUUUAAGCAGUUUGAGAAUUAUUCAAACCGUUUUUAUUCUUAUUGUUUAGGAACAUCGAUAAUUUCCCCGUCAGAUGUCUAACUAGCCUCUUCUCUCGAUGUUUUGGUUAUGACACUUUGUACUGCUUUGUGUUUUUUUAGCAUGGAUAUAGCAUGCACUAGUCAUUUCUUGUUUGUUUGUUAGUGUUGCUCACUCAUGUAUCGAAGAUUGGUGCUAAUAAAAUCAAUCCAUCCUCUAGGAACUUCUUUUUCCUGAAGGGAAAAAUGAUCUAUGCAGGGUAACUUUGUUUUCUGGUUUCAAUACUACAAUAGCAAAAACAGUGAUUGUUGGGAGUUUUGACUUAUUUUAGACAUGAUUAUAUAGAUAGAUAUGAUGAAAUAUGAAUCCAUAUAUGUACAUGAUUACUGCCAAGCCUGUAAGAUAUGAUGCAUGCUGAUUGCCUGUGUAGUGUAUGCUCAGGAUCUGGAUACAUUUGGUGGUCCAUGAUACUUUUGAACUCAACUUUCCAAAGUGAAAAAAAAAGGUAUAUCAUCAAGAAAUUGUUACGGGAGAUAUACACUGAGCCCUUGGAAAGAGUUCCAUUUAUAAAUCCCCACCCCCCGGGAUUUCACAAUUUGCUCUUUAACACUGUUUUAGUUAUUAAAAGGAGGAACUGACUUUCAAAAGUUAGAAAAGCAGAAGCUAUCUUAUGUCUACCUUGUAUCUGAUCAUUGCUGGAUAAUGUCUUAUCUUGUUUAAAUCUUUGCUGCAUAGGGCUCAGAACAUGUCAGUCGUUUGUUUUUUUGUUUGCUUCUGCUGACACCUGGUUCUGAAUGAGAAAAUCGUCACUUUAUAUAACCUUGCAGGAGUUGUGGUUGCGUUAAGUUGCCACACUACUGCUGCAGUGGUGACAGUGGUGCUUCAAGCUCAUGAAAGAAAUUCAUACUAGUGAUAACACUAAUCUUGCUAAAGGAUGAUCUUCUUGUAUUUGUUUUCUUUGCUGCUGGUUUUAUUUUAUCAGCUGCAGCAUUGCAGCUGUUGUCCUAUCUAGAUAUGGGAUUUCAUCGGGUUCUAGUUUGUGAAACAACCUUGAAAUCAUCUUUUCAUGCUUCCAAGGAAUGUAAUGCUGUAUUUUCAGAUGCAUACGGUACAAAUUUCAAUUUUUACAUGUGAUUAAAGUUCUUGCUGCUUGUCAAAUGACACCCAUGUGUCCUGGAGGCACUUAUCUAUAUCCCAAAUUACAUGGAAAUGGCUCGAUGAACUUAGCUCUGAGCUAUUUCAUGAUAUUUGAGGUGGAAUCAAGGGCAGAGUGAAUUGAAGCAAUGAAUUACAACUUCCUAAGUGGAACCACCAACCUUCUGGUUAAAGACAGAUGCAGUUCGGAGGUACACAGCCUUUUUAUCAUCCCUCACAUAAUGAGAUAUGAUUUUGUCAAUGAACCGCUCUGUUAUUCCUUUUCAUUGUUAUUCAUUUUCAGUGCAUUUCUAAGUGUGAGUCAUCUUGGAAUAGAUCAACUUCAGUUUAUAGAUCACUAAGCAUAUCGUUCUCACCUGAGCUCAGUGACUAAAGAUUAUAGAUCAUAACAAGGAUCCGUGCUUCAUUUUUGAGUUGUUUAUUGUGUGCAACAUCCUAUAAAGGUGACAUAGCUAUCCAGAACACACAAAAUUUCUUUGGUUUAUCUUCAAAACAAGCAGCAAAUUCCUCUUCCAGGUUGGGCACAGAGCAUCAAACAACAGACUGAUGCCACUGUUUUUGAAAGAGAUGUUUUCAGGUGCAAGUUUUUUUUAUACCGAGUAUCAAGUUGUGGGUUGCCUCUUGUCACUUCUCAAAUGCACUACUUCAUUCUUUAAUAUAUAUCUUGUGUUUUCUUAUUGAGAGUAAAAAAAAGAUCAGGUGGACUUGUUGAUGGAUGAACGUAAGGGCAUGAAGACAACAGCUGGUUUUUAAGUAUAUGUGAUGAUCCAACCUACCCAGAUAUGCCACAAAGAUAUGGCCAACGGCUCUUGGUGAUUAGAGUUGGAUGUUGUCUUCAUCAGAAGCCAGACAUAGAGAAUCUAUCCAAAGUAUGGACGCACGGUUUUGUCACCAAACAAAGCCUAUUGGGAAACUGGAUAUGAAGCUUACUCGGUGAUUUCACGUGCAAGAUUGUCAUGUUAGAUUGCACUGUCAGAGAAAAUGUGUUAAUUGCAAUUAUUUUAGACUUGUCAGUGUUAUACUGAUAGAAAAUGUGGGCUGCGAUGACUCCGGGAAGAAAAGUGUUAUAAGAGAUUCCAAGUGUGUUUGAAUCUGUUAAAACUAGGGCAAGUACGCCAGUGUUGUUUUUGUUUUCUCAUUUACAUAAAAAGAAAAUGCAACAAGAUAAAAGUAAGC
This is a long non-coding RNA of Musa acuminata AAA Group (dessert banana), 4462 nucleotides long. RefSeq lists it as uncharacterized. The record is from RefSeq and is a predicted model, not a curated record. NCBI's taxonomy places the organism in Eukaryota, Viridiplantae, Streptophyta, Magnoliopsida, Zingiberales, Musaceae. The transcript has 8 exons.